RNAcentral lists this transfer RNA (73 nucleotides) under Ilumatobacter sp. Its description in RNAcentral is "tRNA-Arg". It matches the Rfam family "tRNA". Rfam says of the family: Transfer RNA (tRNA) molecules are approximately 80 nucleotides in length. Their secondary structure includes four short double-helical elements and three loops (D, anti-codon, and T loops). Lineage: Bacteria; Bacillati; Actinomycetota; Acidimicrobiia; Acidimicrobiales; Ilumatobacteraceae. RNAcentral also lists the same sequence under 2 other names. The record is from RNAcentral.
GCCUCUGUAGCUCAGUGGAUAGAGCAUCGGUUUCCUAAACCGUGUGUCGCAGGUUCGAUCCCUGCCAGGGGCG